GACGAACGCUGGCGGCGUGCUUAACACACGCAAGUCGAACGAAGAGCGAUGGAAGCUUGCUUCUAUCAAUCUUAGUGGCGAACGGGUGAGUAACGCGUAAUCAACCAGCCCUUCAGAGGGGGACAACAGUUGGAAACGACUGCUAAUACCGCAUACGAUUUAAUCUCGGCAUCGAGGAUAAAUGAAAGGUGGCCUCUACAUGUAAGCUAUCACUGAAGGAGGGGAUUGCGUCUGAUUAGCUAGUUGGAGGGGUAACGGCCCACCAAGGCGAUGAUCAGUAGCCGGUCUGAGAGGAUGAACGGCCACAUUGGGACUGAGACACGGCCCAGACUCCUACGGGAGGCAGCAGUGGGGAAUCUUCCGCAAUGGACGAAAGUCUGACGGAGCAACGCCGCGUGAGUGAUGACGGCCUUCGGGUUGUAAAGCUCUGUUAAUCGGGACGAAAGGCCUUCUUGCGAAUAGUGAGAAGGAUUGACGGUACCGGAAUAGAAAGCCCGGU
RNAcentral lists this ribosomal RNA (499 nucleotides) under Veillonella parvula. Its description in RNAcentral is "bacterial SSU rRNA". It matches the Rfam family "Bacterial small subunit ribosomal RNA", at positions 28 to 496 of the family's 1533-position model. Lineage: Bacteria; Bacillati; Bacillota; Negativicutes; Veillonellales; Veillonellaceae. The record is from RNAcentral.